RNAcentral lists this ribosomal RNA (750 nucleotides) under uncultured Glomus. RNAcentral describes it as "SSU rRNA". It matches the Rfam family "Eukaryotic small subunit ribosomal RNA", at positions 338 to 1092 of the family's 1831-position model. Lineage: Eukaryota; Fungi; Glomeromycota; Glomeromycetes; Glomerales; Glomeraceae. The record is from RNAcentral.
GGCCUACCAUGGUGGUAACGGGUAACGGGGUGUUAGGGCACGACACCGGAGAGGGAGCCUGAGAAACGGCUACCACAUCCAAGGAUGGCAGCAGGCGCGCAAAUUACCCAAUCCCGACACGGGGAGGUAGUGACAAUAAAUAACAAUACGGGGUUCUUUCGGAUCUCGUAAUUGGAAUGAGUACAAUUUAAAUCUCUUAACGAGGAACAAUUGGAGGGCAAGUCUGGUGCCAGCAGCCGCGGUAAUUCCAGCUCCAAUAGCGUAUAUUAAAGUUGUUGCAGUUAAAAAGCUCGUAGUUGAAUUUCGGGGUCAGCAGGUCGGUCGUGCCACUGGUAUGAACUGGCCUCGCUGAUCCCUCCCUCUUGACGAACUGUGAUGCCAUUAAUUUGGUGUCGCAGGGAAUCAGGACUGUUACUUUGAAAAAAUUAGAGUGUUUAAAGCAGGCUCACGCUUGAAUACAUUAGCAUGGAAUAAUGAAGUAGGACGUUUGAUCCUAUUUUGUUGGUUUCUAGGAUUGACGUAAUGAUUAAUAGGGAUAGUUGGGGGCAUUAGUAUUCAAUUGUCAGAGGUGAAAUUCUUGGAUUUAUUGAAGACUAACUACUGCGAAAGCAUUUGCCAAGGAUGUUUUCAUUAAUCAAGAACGAAAGUUAGGGGAUCGAAGACGAUCAGAUACCGUCGUAGUCUUAACCAUAAACUAUGCCGACUAGGGAUCGGAUGAUGUAAUUUUUAAUGACUCAUUCGCGCCUUACG